Molecule: ribosomal RNA, 399 nt
Filed under: Dinera takanoi
Lineage: Eukaryota; Metazoa; Arthropoda; Insecta; Diptera; Tachinidae
Description: partial 16S rRNA
Source: RNAcentral
GGCCGCAGUAUAUUGACUGUGCAAAGGUAGCAUAAUAAUUAGUCUUUUAAUUGAAGGCUGGUAUGAAUGGUUGAACAAAUAUUAACUGUUUCAUAAGUAUUUAAAUUAGAAUUUUAUUUUUUAGUCAAAAAGCUAAAAUGUAUUUAAAAGACGAGAAGACCCUAUAAAUCUUUAUAAUUUAAUUAUUAAAAAUUUUUAGAAUUAUUUAAUUAUAAUAAUAAGUAUUAUUUUAUUGGGGUGAUAUUAAAAUUUAAUUAACUUUUAAUUUUUAAAUUCAUUAAUUUAUGUUUAAUUGAUCCAUUAUUAAUGAUUAAAAAAUUAAGUUACUUUAGGGAUAACAGCGUAAUUUUUUUGGAGAGUUCAUAUCAAUAAAAAAGAUUGCGACCUCGAUGUUGGAUU